GAUGAACGCUGGCGGCGUGCCUAAUACAUGCAAGUCGAGCGAACGGACGAGAAGCUUGCUUCUCUGAUGUUAGCGGCGGACGGGUGAGUAACACGUGGAUAACCUACCUAUAAGACUGGGAUAACUUCGGGAAACCGGAGCUAAUACCGGAUGAUAUUUUGAACCGCAUGGUUCAAAAGUGAAAGACGGUCUUGCUGUCACUUAUAGAUGGAUCCGCGCUGCAUUAGCUAGUUGGUAAGGUAACGGCUUACCAAGGCAACGAUGCAUAGCCGACCUGAGAGGGUGAUCGGCCACACUGGAACUGAGACACGGUCCAGACUCCUACGGGAGGCAGCAGUAGGGAAUCUUCCGCAAUGGGCGAAAGCCUGACGGAGCAACGCCGCGUGAGUGAUGAAGGUCUUCGGAUCGUAAAACUCUGUUAUUAGGGGAGAACAUAUGUGUAAGUAGCUGUGCACAUCUUGACGGUACCUAAUCAGAAAGCCACGGCUAACUACGUG
RNAcentral lists this ribosomal RNA (497 nucleotides) under uncultured bacterium. RNAcentral describes it as "partial 16S ribosomal RNA". It matches the Rfam family "Bacterial small subunit ribosomal RNA", at positions 28 to 507 of the family's 1533-position model. The record is from RNAcentral.